Molecule: long non-coding RNA, 1086 nt
Organism: Beta vulgaris subsp. vulgaris (sugar beet)
Lineage: Eukaryota; Viridiplantae; Streptophyta; Magnoliopsida; Caryophyllales; Amaranthaceae
Exons: 3
Source: RefSeq, a predicted model, not a curated record
CCCCAUCUCUUCACCCAGGUAAAUUUUUAGUUACGAGGACGUAACUCCUUUUUUAAGGGGGGUAGAAUUCAUAUUGGUUUAGUGCAUGUGUGAUUGAAUGAAAGUUUUCUGAUAAACUUCGAUUUGUUUCAGUCCCUACUUGUUAUAUUACAAUGAUUCCUAUGAUAAAGUUUGUGAGUUGUCUUUAGAAAUAAGAGUAUAAGUUUGAUCAUUUGAGUAAUACUUUAAGUUUCGGGACGAAACUUAUUUUAAGGGGGGUAGAUUGUAACACCCCGUAUUUUAUACCCGAUUAAUAAUUAUUUUUGCUGAAAAUAAUUUCAGAUUUCUUUUUUUUAUAAUAUUUUUUUUUACUAACUUUGACUUUACCUUUGAAGUGGUUAAAAAAAGAAAAAAAAAAACUGAUUCCUAGAUUUACUAGGUUACUAUCUAAUACUUAUCACUAUAUUAGGAGAGAGAAAGUAAAAAAAAAAAAAAGAAGAAAAGAACACAAAGCAGAAGAAGUUCUGCAAUCUUCUCCUCUAACCUUCGUGCAGCAUCCUAAUUCUAAAAAAAAAAAAAAAUUCAAUACUCCAUCAAAGCUACUACUUUUCUCUAUCAAUCAUCAUCAAACUUCAACUCUUGUUCGUCGGCUUCAAUAUCUUUUGGUUUUGGUGGGUGUUUCGAAGAAGAAAAUUUUUGGGUUAUUGGACUUGCGGUUUUCGGAUCAAGAGGUCGAGAUUGUUGGGUCCCUUAUAGUGUAAUUUCACUCUUAUUACUUCCCUUAAUCAAAUUGCGGGUUCGUAGAGGAACCUUUUUGACUUGAGAUUGAGAUUUGCUAACUUUGAUUGCUGAUAAGGGACUUGAAGAUAGUUAGCUCCAGUUGGGUUAAAGAGUGCGUUGGAUCCUUUUUGAUUUAAUAGGACUUUUAAAAAGACUUCCGCUGUUAUUUAUUUAUAAGAUUUAUGUUCUGGUUUGUAAUAAUUAAUUUUACAUUCUAUUUAGUUGGUCUGUAAUAAUUAGUUAAAACUUUUGGUUAUUGUUUUAGUUAGAACCAUUAGCCUUGCGAUUAUUAUUAAUAAUUAUCGCGGCGUAGCACCUUUGGAUUUC